RNAcentral lists this ribosomal RNA (497 nucleotides) under uncultured bacterium. RNAcentral describes it as "partial 16S ribosomal RNA". It matches the Rfam family "Bacterial small subunit ribosomal RNA", at positions 28 to 507 of the family's 1533-position model. The record is from RNAcentral.
GAUGAACGCUGGCGGCGUGCCUAAUACAUGCAAGUCGAGCGAACAGAUAAGGAGCUUGCUCCUCUGACGUUAGCGGCGGACGGGUGAGUAACACGUGGAUAACCUACCUCUAAGACUGGGAUAACUUCGGGAAACCGGAGCUAAUACCGGAUAAUAUAUUGAACCGCAUGGUUCAAUAGUGAAAGACGGUUUUGCUGUCACUUAUAGAUGGAUCCGCGCCGCAUUAGCUAGUUGGUAAGGUAACGGCUUACCAAGGCAACGAUGCGUAGCCGACCUGAGAGGGUGAUCGGCCACACUGGAACUGAGACACGGUCCAGACUCCUACGGGAGGCAGCAGUAGGGAAUCUUCCGCAAUGGGCGAAAGCUUGACGGAGCAACGCCGCGUGAGUGAUGAAGGUCUUCGGAUCGUAAAACUCUGUUAUUAGGGAAGAACAAAUGUGUAAGUAACUAUGCACGUCUUGACGGUACCUAAUCAGAAAGCCACGGCUAACUACGUG